GCCGCUGUGGUGGAAUAGGCAGACACACAGCACUCAAAAUGCUGCGCCUAAUAGGCAUAUCGGUUCGACUCCGAUCAGCGGCACCA
This 86-nucleotide transfer RNA is filed under the name Eubacteriaceae bacterium. Its description in RNAcentral is "tRNA-Leu". It matches the Rfam family "tRNA". From Rfam's summary of the family: Transfer RNA (tRNA) molecules are approximately 80 nucleotides in length. Their secondary structure includes four short double-helical elements and three loops (D, anti-codon, and T loops). Further hydrogen bonds mediate the characteristic L-shaped molecular structure. tRNAs have two regions of fundamental functional importance: the anti-codon, which is responsible for specific mRNA codon recognition, and the 3' end, to which the tRNAs corresponding amino acid is attached (by aminoacyl-tRNA synthetases). tRNAs cope with the degeneracy of the genetic code in two manners: having more than one tRNA (with a specific anti-codon) for a particular amino acid; and 'wobble' base-pairing, i.e. permitting non-standard base-pairing at the 3rd anti-codon position. Lineage: Bacteria; Bacillati; Bacillota; Clostridia; Eubacteriales; Eubacteriaceae. The record is from RNAcentral.